AGAAUAGAAAUACUUCAGUCUGUCCGUUCACAGGGAAUAGAUUCCCUGGAUAAAGUGGAAGCGGUGAUUCUUGAAACUGAUGGAAGUAUGUCAGUAAUCCAAAAGUCUGAAGGGAAGCAACAUGAUACGCUUAGUAAUGUCAAAGGCUAUUAGAUGAUUUGGUUUCGGUCUGUUCCUGCUCUUUGAUAUAAUACAACUACUAUUACUUAGAUGAUUAGGGAGUUCAGUUCAUGAAGCCGUUCACCAAUACCGUGAUCAAUAUUAUUAAGAUAAUACCAGAGGGAUCAGUGAUGACAUAUGGUCAAAUCGCCGCAUUGGCCGGAAGCCCCCGGUCUGCAAGGCAAGUGGCUCGAAUUCUUCAUUCAAUGAGUGGAAAGCAUAACCUUCCAUGGCACCGGGUUGUCAACGCCAAGGGCGAAGUUGCUAUAAAAGAGGAAGGAUCACAUGAGGAACAAAAAAUUCUGCUGGAAAUGGAAGGCGUAUGCUUGUCUGGAAGUAAGAUUGAUUUAGGAAUAUAUCAGUAUCACCCGUGACAAAAAAGGAUGAAAUCAAAUGAUGUUGAACUCGCUUAACUAACAAUAUGGAAGGACAAAGUUCUUUUUAAAACUUUUUCGGCAUAAAGUGUUGCAUUUGGUUUAUAUGCAUGGUAUAUUAUUUGAGUUGCUUCAAACGGCGGCGUUAAAAACAAACAGUCAAUAAAAAAAUGUUGACUCGGUCAGAAAGAAAAUGUUACAUUGUUUUGGUCGCCAAAAAAACGGCGCUUAAACAAAACAAAAAAGUUGUUGACAGGCAUUUCGGUAAAUGUUAUGAUAGUAAAGUCGCUGUCAAAACGACAACAACGAAAAUUUGAUCUUUGAAAACUGAACAAAACAAUCAUUAUGUCAAGCAAGAAAUGCUAGUCAAGUUUUCGAGCAAGCAAGCUCACAUUUUAUGGAGAGUUUGAUCUUGGCUCAGGACGAACGCUGGCGGCGUGCCUAAUACAUGCAAGUCGAGCGCGGGAAGCAAGCAAUCACCCUUCGGGGUGUGCGCUUGUGGAACGAGCGGCGGACGGGUGAGUAACACGUGGGCAACCUGCCUGUAAGACUGGGAUAACCCCGGGAAACCGGGGCUAAUACCGGAUAACACUUUUCUCUGCAUGGNGUAGGCGAGGAGAGAAUCCUAAGGUGAGCGGGAGAACUCUCGUUAAGGAACUCGGCAAAAUGACCCCGUAACUUCGGGAGAAGGGGUGCUUCUUUUGCGAGAAGCCGCAGUGAAAAGGCCCAAGCGACUGUUUAGCAAAAACACAGGUCUCUGCGAAGCCGUAAGGCGAAGUAUAGGGGCUGACACCUGCCCGGUGCUGGAAGGUUAAGGGGACGCGUUAGCCGCAAGGCGAAGCGUUGAACCGAAGCCCCAGUAAACGGCGGCCGUAACUAUAACGGUCCUAAGGUAGCGAAAUUCCUUGUCGGGUAAGUUCCGACCCGCACGAAAGGUGCAACGACUUGGGCACUGUCUCAACGAGAGACCCGGUGAAAUUAUACUAUGCGUGAAGAUGCGCAUUACCCGCGACAGGACGGAAAGACCCCGUGGAGCUUUACUGUAGCCUGAUAUUGCAUGUUGGUACAGCUUGUACAGGAUAGGUGGGAGCCUUAGAAGCCGGAGCGCUAGCUUCGGUGGAGGCGUCGGUGGGAUACCACCCUGGCUGUACGGACAUUCUAACCCAGGACCGUGAUCCGGUCCGGAGACAGUGUCAGGUGGGCAGUUUGACUGGGGCGGUCGCCUCCUAAAGAGUAACGGAGGCGCCCAAAGGUUCCCUCAGAAUGGUUGGAAAUCAUUCGCAGAGUGUAAAGGCAGAAGGGAGCUUGACUGCGAGACCUACAAGUCGAGCAGGGACGAAAGUCGGGCUUAGUGAUCCGGCGGUGCCGUAUGGAAGGGCCGUCGCUCAACGGAUAAAAGCUACCCCGGGGAUAACAGGCUUAUCUCCCCCAAGAGUCCACAUCGACGGGGAGGUUUGGCACCUCGAUGUCGGCUCAUCGCAUCCUGGGGCUGUAGUCGGUCCCAAGGGUUGGGCUGUUCGCCCAUUAAAGCGGUACGCGAGCUGGGUUCAGAACGUCGUGAGACAGUUCGGUCCCUAUCCGUCGUGGGCGUUGGAAGUUUGAGAGGAGCUGUCCUUAGUACGAGAGGACCGGGAUGGACACACCGCUGGUGUACCAGUUGUUCCGCCAGGAGCAUAGCUGGGUAGCUACGUGUGGAAGGGAUAAGUGCUGAAAGCAUCUAAGCAUGAAGCCCCCCUCUAGAUGAGACUUCCCAUCAUUUUAAAUGAGUAAGAUCCCUCAGAGACGAUGAGGUUGAUAGGUCCGAGGUGGAAGCGUGGUGACACGUGCAGCUGACGGAUACUAAUCGAUCGAGGACUUAACUAU
This 2396-nucleotide ribosomal RNA is filed under the name Sediminibacillus massiliensis. RNAcentral's name for it is "bacterial LSU rRNA". The stretch from base 898 to 2396 matches the Rfam family "Bacterial large subunit ribosomal RNA". The record is from RNAcentral. Lineage: Bacteria; Bacillati; Bacillota; Bacilli; Caryophanales; Bacillaceae.